UUUGGUAGAGGUCGCAUUUGGCAAUGAGUAUCAUACGGGUAUCAAGCUCUGACGAAGCGCAUCUGUAUGAAAAAGGUGUCGGUGCCGAGGACAGCCAUGUCAAAGGCUGCAUCCGGCGCGGUGAAAUAAGAUUUAUCGCGUUGUCGCAUCAAAUGAUGCGGAGAGCUAUCGGU
This 173-nucleotide non-coding RNA is filed under the name bovine gut metagenome. Its description in RNAcentral is "Lysine riboswitch". It matches the Rfam family "Lysine riboswitch aptamer". From Rfam's summary of the family: Riboswitches are metabolite binding domains within certain messenger RNAs that serve as precision sensors for their corresponding targets. Allosteric rearrangement of mRNA structure is mediated by ligand binding, and this results in modulation of gene expression. This family includes riboswitches that sense lysine in a number of genes involved in lysine metabolism, including lysC. The record is from RNAcentral.